Mycena epipterygia is the source of this 91-nucleotide non-coding RNA. Lineage: Eukaryota; Fungi; Basidiomycota; Agaricomycetes; Agaricales; Mycenaceae. The record is from the annotation of a GenBank genome assembly.
UCGGGCGUGGUGUACGAAACACGUUCUCUAUUCUUGGACUGUCCAGAGUGAAUGAAUGGGGGGGACCCAGGUUCGACUCCUGGCGCCCGAG